GCCCCAAUAGCUCAGCCGGUAGAGCAUCUGAUUUGUAAUCAGGAGGUCGGGAGUUCGAGUCUCUCUUGGGGCACCA
RNAcentral lists this transfer RNA (76 nucleotides) under Paracoccaceae bacterium. Its description in RNAcentral is "Rhodobacteraceae bacterium tRNA-Thr". It matches the Rfam family "tRNA". From Rfam's summary of the family: Transfer RNA (tRNA) molecules are approximately 80 nucleotides in length. Their secondary structure includes four short double-helical elements and three loops (D, anti-codon, and T loops). Lineage: Bacteria; Pseudomonadati; Pseudomonadota; Alphaproteobacteria; Rhodobacterales; Paracoccaceae. The record is from RNAcentral.